AGUACGCCGCGCCGCAGCAGGAGGUACAUCUAUGUUUAUUCGCUUGGCAGCUAUUGCCAAAAAAUUUGGUUCCCGGACCGAUUUCUUAUGCUAGUGGAGAAGCUGCACGGUGCCAUAAGGUUCGAAGUGCAGCAGGCUCGUCCCUCGUACCGUGUUGCAGGAAUCGAUCAUCCACGUGGAAGGUGACCAUGUCCUCGUCGCCGUCGGGCUUGUCUCGGACUUUCAGCGUGCGGAAUAAAUCGACCCGGAGCUCAUCACCAGUGGAAGGCCUUCUCCGACGAACCAGGAGCGUACGCGUGACGAAGAAAGAACAGGACGACAAUCUUAGAAUUCCCUCACGAGUCCCACGACUCUUUGAGGAGCCGGUCAGAUUGAUCACGCGAUCGUCGCUGAAUCUGUCACUGUCGUCGUUGUACCCAAGGAAUUAUUCCUUCGGUAGGAACAGCGCCGAAGUUGCGCUUCCGUCCAGGCAGCGAAGUGUUUCCCCCCCGGCUCCCGAUGCCCGACUGUGGAGAAGUAGAUCGGUUCGUCGGUCCGUGAGACCCGCUGUGGUUGCUCGGAAUGUGCAUUUCCACGUCACAUCAUGCACUCGUUGUCUGUCUCGAGGAACGAUUCAGUGUUACUGCAACUAUGUUCCAAGGUCGGAUACUUAUCGGUUGACGACGGAUUUCUUCACCUUGGCAUCUUCUUAUCCAAGACUUCCAGAAGCGCACACGACCUCUAGGUAUGCAUCGUCGAGCUUGAGCCGGAGGACCCCAUCGAUACCGACAUUAUCGAGUCUCUCGCAAGCCUACGGUGGUUAUUACGAUAGGAGGUCCACGAGUCUGCCACGCCGAUCCUCAACGAUGGUGAACCGCAUUGGUCUUCUCUACUGAUCUAGUAAGGCAUAGGAACAAAGAGAGAUGGUAACUGAGCAUCGAAUAUUUCGAACUAAAAGGCGAUGAGGACUGAAAGCUAUGGGGUGAAUUUGUAAAUACGUAAUUAUUGUGGAAUAUUUCGGAUCAUGUGGGGAGAGAUACCGAAUGAAUAAAAUAUUUCCUCCGGAAGCUUUGAGGAGAA
This is a long non-coding RNA of Galendromus occidentalis (western predatory mite), 1059 nucleotides long. RefSeq lists it as uncharacterized. Lineage: Eukaryota; Metazoa; Arthropoda; Arachnida; Mesostigmata; Phytoseiidae. The record is from RefSeq and is a predicted model, not a curated record. The transcript has 6 exons.